ACCACCCUUUUUCAAUGCACUUGACUCAUGAUUUCAUCCAACUACUUUUUGUGAACACAAGACCUUCCUCAAUGGAAUUUGGGGUCCCCAAAAUGAACUCUCCACCCACAAAACACAACUUAAAACAAAAAAAAAACAAAAACUCAUGCAAAGUUUGCCAAAAAGUCUAAAUUUGACAUCUUGGUCCCCUGUGUACAAAAAAGUUGUCACUUGUGAAGGACUUUCUGUAAAAAUUCAACAAAACAUUCGCGUGAACGUUUACCACCUAUUGGUAAACGAUUACACCACCCUUUUUCAAUGCACUUGACUCAGGAUUUCAUCCAACUACUUUUAGUGAACACAAGACCUUUCAACAACACUAAAACAAUCUG
Molecule: long non-coding RNA, 371 nt
Filed under: Vigna radiata
Lineage: Eukaryota; Viridiplantae; Streptophyta; Magnoliopsida; Fabales; Fabaceae
Description: long non-coding RNA (VRAD_LNC015936)
Source: RNAcentral